AUCAAUAAGCGGAGGAAAAGAAACCAACAGGGAUUGCCCUAGUAACGGCGAGUGAAGCGGCAACAGCUCAAAUUUGAAAUCUGGCUUCGGCCCGAGUUGUAAUUUGCAGAGGAUGUUUAUGGUGCGGUACCUUCCGAGUUCCCUGGAACGGGACGCCACAGAGGGUGAGAGCCCCGUCUGGUUGGAUACCAAACCUGUGUUAAACUCCUUCAACGAGUCGAGUAGUUUGGGAAUGCUGCUCUAAAUGGGAGGUAAAUCUCUUCUAAAGCUAAAUACCGGCCAGAGACCGAUAGCGCACAAGUAGAGUGAUCGAAAGAUGAAAAGCACCUUGAAAAGGGGGUUAAACAGUACGUGAAAUUGUUAAAAGGGAAGCGUUUAUGACCAGACUUGUGUCGUGUGGCUCAUCCGAGGUUCUCCCCGGUGCACUCCACACGGCUCAGGCCAACAUCGGUUUUCGUUGGGGGAUAAGAACAGCAGGAACGUGGCCCUUCUCGGAGGGUGUUAUAGCCUGCUGUACGAUACCCUGAUGGGGACCGAGGACCGCGCUUCGGCUAGGAUGUUGGCGUAAUGGUCAUUAGCGACCCGUCUUGAAACACGGACCAAGGAGUCGUCCAUUAGAGCGAGCGUUUGGGUGUAAAACCCGCACGCGUAAUGAAAGUGAAAUUAGGUGAGAGCUUCGGCGCAUCAUCGACCGAUCCUGAAGUUUACGGAAGGAUUUGAGUAAGAGUUUUAACGGACGGACCCGAAAGACAGUGAACUAUGCUUGAAUAGGGUGAAGCCAGAGGAAACUCUGGUGGAGGCUCGCAGCGGUUCUGACGUGCAAAUCGAUCGUCAAAUUUGAGCAUGGGGGCGAAAGACUAAUCGAACUGUCUAGUAGCUGGUUACCGCCGAGU
This 893-nucleotide ribosomal RNA is filed under the name Gnomoniopsis occulta. RNAcentral describes it as "LSU rRNA". It matches the Rfam family "Eukaryotic large subunit ribosomal RNA", at positions 42 to 966 of the family's 3401-position model. Lineage: Eukaryota; Fungi; Ascomycota; Sordariomycetes; Diaporthales; Gnomoniaceae. The record is from RNAcentral.